RNAcentral lists this ribosomal RNA (468 nucleotides) under uncultured bacterium. RNAcentral's name for it is "partial 16S ribosomal RNA". It matches the Rfam family "Bacterial small subunit ribosomal RNA", at positions 28 to 507 of the family's 1533-position model. The record is from RNAcentral.
GACGAACGCUGGCGGCGUGCUUAACACAUGCAAGUCGAACGGAAAGGCCCUGCUUUUGUGGGGUGCUCGAGUGGCGAACGGGUGAGUAACACGUGAGUAACCUGCCCUUGACUUUGGGAUAACUUCAGGAAACUGGGGCUAAUACCGGAUAGGAGCUCCUGCUGCAUGGUGGGGGUUGGAAAGUUUCGGCGGUUGGGGAUGGACUCGCGGCUUAUCAGCUUGUUGGUGGGGUAGUGGCUUACCAAGGCUUUGACGGGUAGCCGGCCUGAGAGGGUGACCGGCCACAUUGGGACUGAGGUACGGCCCAGACUCCUACGGGAGGCAGCAGUGGGGAAUAUUGCACAAUGGGCGGAAGCCUGAUGCAGCGACGCCGCGUGCGUGAUGACGGCCUUCGGGUUGUAAACCGCUUUCGCCUGUGACGAAGCGUGAGUGACGGUAAUUGGUAAAGAAGCACCGGCUAACUACGUG